CUGAAGUUCUUCCUCGGUCUUCAAAUACGACAACAACGGAAUGGCAUCUUCAUAUCUCAAGAGAAAUAUCUCAAAGAUUGCCUAAAGAAGUUCGGUAUGCAAGACUGCAAAGGCUUCACAACACCAAUGCCAGCCAAACAUUAUCUGGGUCCUGACGACAAUGGUAAAGAGUUCGAUCAAAAGGUAUACCACUCCAUGAUUGGUUCUUUACUUUAUCUAUGUGCAUCUAGGCCAGAUAUUAUGCUUAAUGUUUGCAUGUGUGCUCGAUUUCAAGCGGCACCAAAGGAGUCGCGUCACUUAGCUGUGAAGCGAAUUCUUCGAUAUUUGGCUCACACCCCAACUCUAGGGUUAUGGUAUCCAAAGGGCUCAGAGUUUGAUCUGGUUGGAUUCUCGGAUGCUGAUUAUGCUGGUGACAAAGUUGAUCGCAAGUGUACAUCAGGCACAUGUCACUUUCUGGGACGAUCACUUGUAUGUUGGUCUUCAAAGAAGCAGAACUGUGUAUCUCUC
This 507-nucleotide ribosomal RNA is filed under the name Triticum aestivum (bread wheat). RNAcentral's name for it is "partial small subunit ribosomal RNA". The record is from RNAcentral. Lineage: Eukaryota; Viridiplantae; Streptophyta; Magnoliopsida; Poales; Poaceae.